AUUGAACGCUGGCGGAAUGCUUUACACAUGCAAGUCGAACGGCAGCACGGACUUCGGUCUGGUGGCGAGUGGCGAACGGGUGAGUAAUGUAUCGGAACGUGCCGAGUCGUGGGGGAUAACGUAGUGAAAAUUACGCUAAUACCGCAUACGAACUAUGGAUGAAAGCGGGGGAUCGCAAGACCUCGCGCGAUUGGAGCGGCCGAUAUCAGAUUAGGUAGUUGGUGGGGUAAAGGCCCACCAAGCCAACGAUCUGUAGCUGGUCUGAGAGGAUGACCAGCCACACUGGAACUGGGACACGGUCCAGACUCCUACGGGAGGCAGCAGUGGGGAAUUUUGGACAAUGGGCGAAAGCCUGAUCCAGCCAUUCCGCGUGCAGGAUGAAGGCCCUCGGGUUGUAAACUGCUUUUGUACAGAACGAAAAGGUUUCUACUAAUACUAGGAGCUCAUGACGGUACUGUAAGAAUAAGCACCGGCUAACUACGUGCCAGCAGCCGCGGUAA
This 500-nucleotide ribosomal RNA is filed under the name uncultured bacterium. Its description in RNAcentral is "partial 16S ribosomal RNA". It matches the Rfam family "Bacterial small subunit ribosomal RNA", at positions 30 to 523 of the family's 1533-position model. The record is from RNAcentral.